GGGAUUCGGUUUCCGUAGCACUAUUCCCCUCAUUUGAAAAAUGUAAUUUCUUUCAUUCACAUGUAAACUAAUGCUGCACUUUACAAACCAUUUAUAGCCUGGAAUGAUGGCUUCACGUUUACUGUCAACAAUCAAGCAAUUUAACUCAAUUUUACUGUUAAUGUAGUGCAGUUAAAUUAAUUAGUCGGAUGUUUCCCUGGAGCCAGAAAUGGAUUAAUACUCAGAGAAUCUCAAUCUUGAUGUCUGUGAUUAUCGAAAUAUGUCCUGUGCCACUUUCAUUGUUUAUUUC
Molecule: non-coding RNA, 289 nt
Organism: Pelobates cultripes (western spadefoot toad)
Lineage: Eukaryota; Metazoa; Chordata; Amphibia; Anura; Pelobatidae
Source: the annotation of a GenBank genome assembly